GUAUGUCUUUUCAUCAUUUGGGUAUUUUUUUUUUUUUUGGAGAAUUUUGGGUUUGAUUAAUAAUAAAAAACCAACAUCACAAGGGCCAAUUUGCCCAACUACUACCCAAACUAAUACAACUAAUAAAGAAAAAACCGGCAACCCAAUUCUGCCCCAAACCCAUCCCAUCUACUCUUAUUACAUGCAGAUAAAUGUAAGAGAUCCGUUUCCAUUAAUCUAGCCUUACCUCUCUAAUCCCUUCCCACCUGAAAAUAUGUUGCCACCGCUACUCAAUAACAAAAUGGUUCUUCUUUUUCUUUGGGUUAUAAAUGGUGUUCCCUUAUGUUCAUCUCAGAUUCUACAUCAGUUUUCAAGAUUGUGCGCUCUGGUAGAUGAAAGUGGAAAUGGAUUUCAUUGUGAACUGAGGGUGCUCCAUCGGGAUGCUGGCUCCUCAUAGCAUUGGAUCUUCUCUCAGGUUUUCUGCUUCUGAUUCGGCCCACUCCCCUCCAUUUUGUCAAGACCAUUUUGAAGGCUGUAAUAGCCUAGGCUAGAUAGCUUUUUCACAUCUUCUUUUUCCUUUUUUCUUGUGUAAUUAUGUAGCUAGUGAAAAACUGAAGCAUCUGCCUUAUCUGCCCCUUGAUCAUCCCUUAGCUGAUGAAACUCUUAAAUAUGGGCUCUGUAGUUUGUCGCUGUUAAUGAUCUUUCUUCCUUGUGAUUCCAUGUAGUUGAAGCUUGCAUAUGAACAAUCUCCUGAAUUUAUUGCAUGAUUAGCUAAGUAAUCCGUCAA
This is a long non-coding RNA of Capsicum annuum, 766 nucleotides long. RefSeq lists it as uncharacterized. The transcript is spliced from 2 exons. The record is from RefSeq and is a predicted model, not a curated record. NCBI's taxonomy places the organism in Eukaryota, Viridiplantae, Streptophyta, Magnoliopsida, Solanales, Solanaceae.